CUAGUUAAGCAGGAUGGUUGGGCCUCAAAGAAACCAAAGCAAAACGAAGCAGAGAAAGUCCACACCACGUGCUCUCUGAAGCCAGACAAGCUUGCAGCUUGCUACAGGGUGAAGCAUUUUAUAGCUAGACUUUACUGCAGGAACAGGAGGGUACAGAGGCUUUUGGAUGACAAAGAAGCAAGGGGAGGUCCGUCGACGCUUCCACAGCCAUACACUCUCGAGAGCCCCCCCAAGUUAGGAUUUUUAUGAGCAUGUGGCUUUAUGGGUCUCGUUUAAGUGUUUUUUUUCCCCACAGUAUGCAUCUCAUUUUUAUGCGUAUUCAACGAGUCAUUCGAUUAGUUUGAUGUCUUGCUUUUAAAAAUGUUCUCUUCACAAAAUGUUUUUCCAUGGGAAUUCAAGCCAUAUAAUCAAAAUAAUAAAGAAUCAAUGUCAAUGCUGAAUUGAAUUGGAGAACAGGGACUGUUUUUCUAAAUUCCGCCAGUAAUGUCAUUUCUGUGAAACAUGGUUUCAAUCAUAGAAACCUUGUCUUCGCCGUUCUUCCCAGUGGUGUUAGUAGUUCAAAGAGUUAAAAACAUAAUCUUAAAAGGGAGAAAUUCAUGGCUUAUAAUGAUUCCAAUAGAAUCAAAUUGAAAUAUUGAUUAGUUCUUUUGGGGUUGAGUCAGAUGUGGUUUAGGCUUUUCUUGGACCGCUACAAUUGAUAUUAGAUCGAAAUCCUUGAUUUAAAUUGCGAAACUUUCACAAUGUUUGAGACUGAAAUAUUCUUCUCCUUUCGAAAUAUAAACACAAUGUUGAAGUAAAAACCCAGACAGCUAUAUAGUCCAAAUUUUCCAUAAAGUACAUUCUAAAAAAACAAUCCAUAAAAUUACAAGAAUAAUGUUAGAUACACUCGGUGUGUAAGUCAUACACACUCCCUUUGAAAAAGUGGGGUCUACUGUUAAAAAAAAAUGAUGAGUCUCACUUUUUUUUUUUUUUAAAGGGAGUGUGCUGACUUAUGCACAUUAAGAAAUAUUAUUUCUCAAAGUUGCAAUUGCUUGGCAGUAUUUGGCUGUGCAAAUUAAUCAUUAGAAAACAAAGAGAGAUCCACGUCCUUGGUAGAGUCUGGUAUUUUGGUUUGAGGGGGCGGCAGGGCUUUUUCCCUUCACUAAUUAUAUGUUCUCAUCAAUACCUUUUAGGGCCAAUGAUACUGCUGACAGCUGCAAGUUUUGCAGGCUUAUGUGCAUCUUCCUGCGCAUGCUUAUCAGGUGAAUGUUUGUUUUUGUGCUGUAACCGUGUUAAACAUUUUAGGCCUCUUAAAUUUUCAAUUAGCAAAAGCCUAAAGCUUAAUCUGAUAGCAGAGCUCCAUCAAUAAAUAAUAUUUUGAAUUUCAUUCC
This is a long non-coding RNA of Carya illinoinensis, 1370 nucleotides long. RefSeq lists it as uncharacterized. NCBI's taxonomy places the organism in Eukaryota, Viridiplantae, Streptophyta, Magnoliopsida, Fagales, Juglandaceae. The transcript has 2 exons. The record is from RefSeq and is a predicted model, not a curated record.